Molecule: ribosomal RNA, 179 nt
Filed under: uncultured eukaryote
Lineage: Eukaryota
Description: partial 18S ribosomal RNA
Rfam family: Eukaryotic small subunit ribosomal RNA
Source: RNAcentral
UGGUGGAGUGAUUUGUCUGGUUGAUUCCGUUAACGAACGAGAUCUUGACCCUUCAAUGACAGUUUGAUCGACUUGUAGUUCAAUGCCUCGAUGCCUGGUUCUUGGUUUGGAUGAGAUCAAAUCAUGUACUCAAGGGGACGAUGCAUGUUUACAAUGCAUGGAAGUGCGAGCCAAUACCA